GAUGAACGCUGGCGGCGUGCCUAAUACAUGCAAGUCGAGCGAACGGACGAGAAGCUUGCUUCUCUGAUGUUAGCGGCGGACGGGUGAGUAACACGUGGAUAACCUACCUAUAAGACUGGGAUACUUCGGGAAACCGGAGCUAAUACCGGAUGAUAUUUUGAACCGGAUGGUUCAAAAGUGAAAGACGGUCUUGCUGUCACUUAUAGAUGGAUCCGCGCUGCAUUAGCUAGUUGGUAAGGUAACGGCUUACCAAGGCAACGAUGCAUAGCCGACCUGAGAGGAGGCCCGGCCACACGGACACAGAUCCACGACCCAGCCCCCAAGGGGGGGAACCAGUGGGAAAUCUUCCGCAAGGGGCGAAACCCUGACGGAGCAACGCCGCGUGAGUAAUGAAGUUCUUGGAAUCUAAAACCUUUUUAAUGGGGAAAAAAAAUAUGUAUAAGUAACUGUACACACCUUGACGGUACCUAAUAAAAAAGCCACGACUAACUACGUG
This 496-nucleotide ribosomal RNA is filed under the name uncultured bacterium. RNAcentral's name for it is "partial 16S ribosomal RNA". It matches the Rfam family "Bacterial small subunit ribosomal RNA", at positions 28 to 507 of the family's 1533-position model. The record is from RNAcentral.